AUUGAUCAUAGCAAACUUUUAUAAAUAAAUACAAACAGACAGACAGAAUUUUCAAAAAUUAAUCAAAAUGUGUUGUGAAGAUUGUGAAGAUCUUAAAUUAAUUUCCAUUUUUUUCGGAACAUGGAACAUUUUCUUUGGCCUGAUAUUUUCUAUUUAUGCUCUAGUCCGUGAGGCGAACUUCAGUACCUGGUGUGGCAUCUUGGUUAUUGUUCUGCUAUUAACAUCCAUACUACACACUCUGAGCGGGCUAUUGACUUUGCUUGGAAUAUUGAUCGACAACAGAGUAGCGUUCUUGCUGGGAAUAAUUCUGAGCAAUUUUAUGCCAGUCAUGCUGUUGUUUACCAUAUUUAUACCAGUUUUGCACCUGGUUUGUGUGAUUAAAGCGAUCAAAUACUACAAAUCGAAGUGGGUUUCCAGCCCACAAAUUUAGUUCUAGCUCCCUUCAAGUGUUUUGAAUUCAUGGACUACUCGAUGACAAAUCUCAGAACGAAACUGACGCUAAGUUAUCUGUAUAAAUAAAGAGAAACAAUGCCAAUCCA
This is a long non-coding RNA of Drosophila obscura, 539 nucleotides long. RefSeq lists it as uncharacterized. The transcript has 3 exons. The record is from RefSeq and is a predicted model, not a curated record. Lineage: Eukaryota; Metazoa; Arthropoda; Insecta; Diptera; Drosophilidae.